This 569-nucleotide long non-coding RNA is filed under the name Taeniopygia guttata (zebra finch). RNAcentral's name for it is "lncRNA (ENSTGUG00000023477.1)". Lineage: Eukaryota; Metazoa; Chordata; Aves; Passeriformes; Estrildidae. The record is from RNAcentral.
ACCCUCAAAUGCUCUCACCUAGUACCUGAACAACAGCCCUUCAGUAACUGCUGCUCAUCUCCCCCGCCUGGAUCUCAGGAAAACAGACUCAGCUCCAGCCCUGGUUACCUGGAGAUGCUGAAAGCAGAUUCAGAUGCAAGGUGUAUUGAACCCAGACACAAGUUCACCCCAAAUUUGGCAAGUUAGAGUUUAAAAUAGUAUGUGUUCAGGGUGAGCCUGUUGUGGGAGAGGAGCAGCACCGUUUCUCCAGGCACCUUCUCCAUCCCAGGAUCAUUGCUGGCACCCACCAGCUGAGCAGGAGUGGACAGAGCUGGACAGGAUCCCCGGAGCCCUCGUGUCCCUCUGGCUGCAGGACACCAGGGUUCUACAAGGUCAGACCCUUCCCCCAGCUGCAUCCAUGAGCUGGGGACCUCCAGGAAAAAGCCAUGAGCUGGGAACCUCCAGGAAAAAGGCACUGGUGGGAUGUUGCUGGCAGGUUUGGUGGUUGGUGGUGGCCUCGUGCUCGGGGUUGCUGCUCCCGGCGGUGCCCCGAGUGCAGCGUCAGCUGGAUUUUGGCAGCUCUGAGCCCU